This 827-nucleotide ribosomal RNA is filed under the name uncultured bacterium. Its description in RNAcentral is "bacterial SSU rRNA". It matches the Rfam family "Bacterial small subunit ribosomal RNA", at positions 60 to 914 of the family's 1533-position model. The record is from RNAcentral.
AGUCGAACGCGGACUUCGGUCCGAGUGGCGAACGGGUGCGUAACACGUAGGUGACCUGCCCACCGGUGGGGGAUAACCGCGAGAAAUCGUGGCUAAUACCGCAUGAGAUCGUGCUGUUUUGAAAGGCACGAGGAAAGCUUGAUGCGCCGGUGGAGGGGCCUGCGGCCUAUCAGCUAGUUGGUGAGGUAACGGCUCACCAAGGCGAUGACGGGUAGCUGACCUGAGAGGGUGGUCAGCCACAGGGGAACUGAGAGACGGUCCCCACUCCUACGGGAGGCAGCAGUGAGGAAUAUUGGGCAAUGGGGGCAACCCUGACCCAGCAAUGCCGCGUGCGGGAUGAAGGCCUUCGGGUUGUAAACCGCUUUUCUGGGGGAGCAGAACAAGGAGCGUACCUCAGGAAUAAGUCACGGCUAACUACGUGCCAGCAGCCGCGGUAAUACGUAGGUGGCGAACGUUAUCCGGAAUAACUGGGCGUAAAGGGUCCGUAGGCGGCCUUGAAGGUCUGGCGUGAAAGCCCUCGGCUAAACUGAGGGAGUGCGUUGGAAACCGCGAGGCUAGCAUCACGCAGGGGCUGGUGGAAUUCCCGGUGUAGUGGUGGAAUGCGUAGAGAUCGGGAGGAACCUCUAGAGCGAAGGCAACCGGCUAGGCGAUGAUGGACGCUGAGGGACGAAAGCGUGGGGAGCGAACAGGAUUAGAUACCCUGGUAGUCCACGCUGUAAACGAUGUGUGCUAGAUGUCUGGGCCGUAGGGUCUGGGUGUCGUAGCCAACGCGAUAAGCACACCGCCUGGGGAGUACGGCCGCAAGGCUAAAACCCAAAGGAAUUGAC